Panicum virgatum (switchgrass) is the source of this 639-nucleotide long non-coding RNA. RefSeq lists it as uncharacterized. The record is from RefSeq and is a predicted model, not a curated record. NCBI's taxonomy places the organism in Eukaryota, Viridiplantae, Streptophyta, Magnoliopsida, Poales, Poaceae. The transcript is spliced from 4 exons.
ACACAAAACUAGAAGCAGUACAGACACAAACACAAGAAACCAGCUUGAUAUCACGCAUUAUUGAUACGAGCAAUAUUGUUCAACAUGACGUCAAAAGCGUCGGGUAAGGGAACAAUUGCUCCCGUGAACCUGGAAAGAGGAUCGACGACGCAGCCCAAACCAGAGUAUCGUCCUCCUCCAGUCCAUGAGAAAACUGGAUCCCCUAAAACCAGGGGUCUGGAAAAUCCACCGCCAACAACCAGCAACCCCCGUUCGAACAGCCAGCCGCCGUUCGGAGCUUCUGUUAAUCCUGACAAUGCGACGACGAAACCAACAAGCAAGGGAUCCAUGAAGUAACCCAGCCGGGGCCCGCUGAAGCUAGCUACAUAUACGCCGAUGAGAAGACCGCAUACUGCCUAUGAGAUGUCUCUGUCAAGGGUCAAACUACUAAAUAAAGUGUGUUUGUGUGUGUUAUUCAAAUGGAUACGUAGUGUAAUAGUAGUCACAGUAUAUAUAGCAAAAUAUGAUACCUUAAUCUCUAUUAUUAGUUUGUAUUAGUGUGUAUAUGGCCUGUUGUAUAUUGAAAAAUAAUGUUGGAUAUCCUCUGCUGUUAGUUUGUUUUGUAUAAAAACAUCCAGCAAAAAUUGUCUCCUACAAAAA